Oncorhynchus tshawytscha (Chinook salmon) is the source of this 1253-nucleotide long non-coding RNA. NCBI's taxonomy places the organism in Eukaryota, Metazoa, Chordata, Actinopteri, Salmoniformes, Salmonidae. The record is from Ensembl.
GUGCGUCUGUGUGUCUGAGCGUGGGUGUGUGCGUGUGUGUGUGCGUCUGUGUGUCUGAGCCUGGGUGUGUGUGUGUGUGUGUGCGUCUGUGUGUCUGAGCGUGGGUGUGUGUGUGUGUGUGUGCGUCUGUGUGUCUGAGCCUGGGUGUGUGUGUGUGUGUGUGUGUGUGUGUGUGUGUGCGUCUGUGUGUCUGAGCCUGGGUGUGUGUGUGUGUGUGCGUCUGUGUGUCUGAGCCUGGGUGUGUGUGUGUGUGUGUGCGUCUGUGUGUCUGAGCCUGGGUGUGUGUGUGUGUGUGUGUGUGUGUGUGCAUGUUUCAGUGGUAGGGAGUGUUUUGGGCAUUACUCUGGAUGGAGAAACACAGAAGAGAAAGGAAGGAGACAGAGGAUGAUGAAGGGGAACAUGAGGAGGAUGAAGGGUAAUAGGAGGAGGAUGAAGGGGAACAUGAGGAGGAUGAAGGGUAAUAGGAGGAGGAUGAAGGGGAACAUGAGGAGGAUGAAGGGUAAUAGGAGGAGGAUGAAGGGUAAUAGGAGGAGGAUGAAGGGUAAUAGGAGGAGGAUGAAGGGUAAUAGGAGGAGGAUGAAGGGGAACAUGAGGAGGAUGAAGGGUAAUAGGAGGAGGAUGAAGGGGAACAUGAGGAGGAUGAAGGGUAAUAGGAGGAGGAUGAAGGGGAACAUGAGGAGGAUGAAGGGUAAUAGGAGGAGGAUGAAGGGGAACAUGAGGAGGAUGAAGGGUAAUAGGAGGAGGAUGAAGGGGAACAUGAGGAGGAUGAAGGGUAAUAGGAGGAGGAUGAAGGGGAACAUGAGGAGGAGGAAGGUAACAUGAGGAGGAUGAAGGGUAAUAGGAGGAGGAUGAAGGGGAACAUGAGGAGGAGGAAGGUAACAUGAGGAGGAUGAAGGGUAAUAGGUGGAGGAUGAAGGGGAACAUGAGGAGGAGGAAGGUAACAUGAGGAGGAGGAAGGGGAAAAGGAGGAGGAUGAAGGGGAACAUGAGGAGGAGGAAGGUAACAUGAGGAGGAUGAAGGGGAAAAGGAGGAGGAUGAAGGGGAACAUGAGGAGACACCACUCAUAACCAUGAGUUUCUCAUAGGAACGUUUAGUCAUUUAAUACUGCUAUUUAUAGUGUGUUGGACAAUGUCCCCCAUAGCUCUCUCUUUAGAGCUCUCUCUUUGUCCCCUACGGCUCUGUCUUUGUCCCCCACAGCUCUCUCUUCAGAGCUCUCUCUUUGUCCCCCACAGCUCUCUCUCUUUGUCCCCCAC